GCGGGCGCCUCGGCGGCGGGGGUGGGGGUUGGGCAUGAAGGGCGGAGGAGGGCGGAAGGCCUCCGACCCGCCCGCGACCCCCGGGGCGCCUUGAGGGCGUGGGAACUACCAAUCCCGGCGUGCUCCGGGUCGGCGCGGGCGCGCGGUGGGCAGCUGUUGGCUAGACCGGUUUGUUGCCUGGGUUGCGGAGAUGGGCUCUGCGGGCGGUGGCAAAUCCGGCGUUGCCUGAUGGCGCCUCUGACACGAAGCUGGGUGGGGUAAAGAGUAGAGGGCGGUAGUUGCGGCAGGUGGGAGAAGGAAGAGGCGGCGGUGAAUCGCUUAUAAAUGACUCCGAAGCAGGACCUGGAGACUAAAUUCCAGGAGGAUGACACAGAUUCACAUCAAGAUACAGAUGAUGUGCAAAGAAAACCCAUGCCCCCAAAGAGAUUACAGUCACUUCUCCAAACAGAUCCAGCGGGAAUAACCACAAAAGUCACUAAAACCACAUUAAGGGGUCACCUGGGACCCCUUAAUAGAACAGGACGAUAGCUCCAUGACUCCAACUAGGUAGGGUCUAUGAGUCCCGUGUCAGCAUUAAAGAAGUUACAGAAGACUGACCAUCUGUCCCUCAUCACCCCGAUAAAGAUUUCUUGGGGUUCACAUCUCAAGGAAAAUUUGAAGUAGGAGAUAGACGGUCCCUGGGCUGAAUAGCUGGUGAUUUUCAAACGGAGCAAAACUGAAGUUUGUCCUCAGCCAGACAAAAAUGACGUAUUUCCCUUCCUCCAUUGUUAGGAGGGAAUAAACUGACGGGGGAGUUGUUGCAGUGAAAAGGAAAAAAGAGGAAUGGGUUUUUCUUUUUCACUUCUCUGAGACCAAAGAAGAUAAAGAAGAACAGUGAGCAGGCCUGAACAUUCCUAGUUUAUUUUACUUUAACUGCUCCUGAUUCCGAAUGUCUGUAACUAAGUUUGCUUUUCUGCCUCCGAACUCUGCAGGAGCUACACUUGACUUGACUCCAUGCUAAGUACAUCCUCUGUCUGUAUCUGAUGUUUACAACAGCCUUCCCCUUGUAGUUACAUGUCAGAAAGAAGGCCUCAGAGCCACCAAACUGCCAGAUGCAGUUACUGGGUUACUGAUGUCAGUUUAUGACUGUCUUUGAAAUGAUGCAAGAGGAAGAAAUCAAAAUCCUAUCACCUUUGUUUCCUUAUCACUGACUCCUGACUGCUUCUGACUGUGAGCACCUGCUUUAGGGACACAGUUCUUGAGCCAGGAGCAUACUGUGUUCCCCUCUCCACUACCUGAGAAUAAAAGCCACUGUUCUAUUUCUUUCAAA
This is a long non-coding RNA of Cervus elaphus (red deer), 1309 nucleotides long. RefSeq lists it as uncharacterized. NCBI's taxonomy places the organism in Eukaryota, Metazoa, Chordata, Mammalia, Artiodactyla, Cervidae. The record is from RefSeq and is a predicted model, not a curated record. The transcript has 2 exons.